Molecule: non-coding RNA, 48 nt
Filed under: Schistosoma margrebowiei
Lineage: Eukaryota; Metazoa; Platyhelminthes; Trematoda; Strigeidida; Schistosomatidae
Source: RNAcentral
AUCCAAUUGAUGAGUCCCAAAUAGGACGAAGUGUUGCACAUUCUGGAU